This is a long non-coding RNA of Suricata suricatta (meerkat), 407 nucleotides long. RefSeq lists it as uncharacterized. Lineage: Eukaryota; Metazoa; Chordata; Mammalia; Carnivora; Herpestidae. The transcript has 3 exons. The record is from RefSeq and is a predicted model, not a curated record.
UCCCUGGACACGGCGUUCCCUUUUGUCAUCGACGCCUCUCCCCGGUGGCCCUUUUAAAGACUGCACAGUAUUUCCCUUGGCCGAGUGGCAGUCCCUGAGUCCCUGGGGUCCCCAUCACAGGGACGAGGGUUCGUCCACGAGGUCAUACCAAUCCGUACAAAGAGGGACCUCUCCAUGAGCUAAAUGCUCCAGCCCAGCAUCAGAUGUCCCAGACCGGAAGAUGGCUGGUGAUUGGUCCCUUGUCCUCCUGGGACUCAGUCCUUAUCUGAUGAGGAGUCUGGGGCCUGCAUGCCCGUCUUACAGAAGCAGUGUUUUGUACUCGGGAGCUCCUGUCACACACACAUCCCUGUUUAUAGCACCCGGAUGGCCCGUGCUUUCCUCCGUGUCACUGAUGGCCUCAGCUAUGU